This 86-nucleotide transfer RNA is filed under the name Lachnospiraceae bacterium. Its description in RNAcentral is "tRNA-Ser". It matches the Rfam family "tRNA". From Rfam's summary of the family: Transfer RNA (tRNA) molecules are approximately 80 nucleotides in length. Their secondary structure includes four short double-helical elements and three loops (D, anti-codon, and T loops). Further hydrogen bonds mediate the characteristic L-shaped molecular structure. tRNAs have two regions of fundamental functional importance: the anti-codon, which is responsible for specific mRNA codon recognition, and the 3' end, to which the tRNAs corresponding amino acid is attached (by aminoacyl-tRNA synthetases). tRNAs cope with the degeneracy of the genetic code in two manners: having more than one tRNA (with a specific anti-codon) for a particular amino acid; and 'wobble' base-pairing, i.e. permitting non-standard base-pairing at the 3rd anti-codon position. Lineage: Bacteria; Bacillati; Bacillota; Clostridia; Lachnospirales; Lachnospiraceae. The record is from RNAcentral.
GGAGAGGUAUCGAAGCGGUCAUAACGAGGCGGUCUUGAAAACCGUUUGCCUUCACGGGCACAUGGGUUCGAAUCCCAUCCUCUCCG